GCUCCCCUGGCGUAAUGGUAACGCGUUGGACUUCUAAUCCAAAGACUGCGGGUUCGAGCCCCGCGGGGAGUG
RNAcentral lists this transfer RNA (72 nucleotides) under Uromyces viciae-fabae. Its description in RNAcentral is "tRNA-Arg (TCT) (tRNA-Arg-TCT-1 1 to 3)". It matches the Rfam family "tRNA". Rfam says of the family: Transfer RNA (tRNA) molecules are approximately 80 nucleotides in length. Their secondary structure includes four short double-helical elements and three loops (D, anti-codon, and T loops). Further hydrogen bonds mediate the characteristic L-shaped molecular structure. tRNAs have two regions of fundamental functional importance: the anti-codon, which is responsible for specific mRNA codon recognition, and the 3' end, to which the tRNAs corresponding amino acid is attached (by aminoacyl-tRNA synthetases). tRNAs cope with the degeneracy of the genetic code in two manners: having more than one tRNA (with a specific anti-codon) for a particular amino acid; and 'wobble' base-pairing, i.e. permitting non-standard base-pairing at the 3rd anti-codon position. RNAcentral also lists the same sequence under 3 other names. Lineage: Eukaryota; Fungi; Basidiomycota; Pucciniomycetes; Pucciniales; Pucciniaceae. The record is from RNAcentral.